Molecule: microRNA precursor, 105 nt
Filed under: Canis lupus familiaris (dog)
Lineage: Eukaryota; Metazoa; Chordata; Mammalia; Carnivora; Canidae
Also listed under: 1 other name
Description: mir-8834 microRNA precursor family
Rfam family: mir-8834 microRNA precursor family
Source: Rfam by way of RNAcentral
UGGAGGAACAACCCCAGUGGAAGCGGCAGCUCUGGAAACCUGGAUUCAGCCCCCGCAGGAACUCCGGAGCUCUCCAUCUGCAGGGCCUGGAGGCUCCGGGCUGGG